GCGUGGAUCAUGUUGUUUAAUUUCGAUGAUACGCGAAGAACCUUUACCAGGUCUUGACAUCCCAUGCAAAGCUAUAGAGAUAUAGUGGAGGUUACCAUGGAGACAGGUGGUGCACGGUUGUCGUCAGCUCGUGCCGUGAGAUGUUGGUUAAGUCCCGCAACGAGCGCAACCCUUAUUGCUAGUUACCAUCAUUAAGUUGGGGACUCUAGCGAGACUGCCAGUGAUAAACUGGAGGAAGGUGGGGAUGACGUCAAAUCAUCAUGCCCCUUAUGACCUGGGCUACAAACGUGAUACAAUGGCUGAAACAAAGGGCAGCGAAGCAGUGAUGUGAAGCGAAACCCAAAAAAGCAGUCUCAGUUCGGAUUGAAGUCUGCAACUCGACUUCAUGAAGUCGGAAUCGCUAGUAAUCGCGAAUCAGAACGUCGCGGUGAAUACGUUCUCGGGGUUU
RNAcentral lists this ribosomal RNA (448 nucleotides) under uncultured Acholeplasma sp. Its description in RNAcentral is "bacterial SSU rRNA". It matches the Rfam family "Bacterial small subunit ribosomal RNA", at positions 929 to 1382 of the family's 1533-position model. Lineage: Bacteria; Bacillati; Mycoplasmatota; Mollicutes; Acholeplasmatales; Acholeplasmataceae. The record is from RNAcentral.